UUGAUCCUGGCUCAGGAUGAACGCUGGCGGUGUGGAUAAGGCAUGCAAGUCGAGCGGAUUAUUUUCGCAAGAAAAUAAUCAGCGGCGAACGAGUUAGUAACACGUAGGAACUUACCCCAAAAACGGGAAUAACUCUCCGAAAGGAAAGCUAAUACCCGAUAGUCCCCGCCUCGGCGGGGUAAAGGCGAAAGCCGUUUUGGGAGAGGCCUGCGGGCUAUCAGCUAGUUGGUAGGGUAAUGGCCUACCAAGGCGAUGACGGCUAGGGGGCGCGAGAGCGUGUUCCCCAACGUAAGGGACUGAGACACGGCCCUAACUCCUACGGGAGGCAGCAGUCGAGAAUAUUUCGCAAUGGGCGAAAGCCUGACGAAGCGACACCGCGUGAAGGAAGAAGGCCCUCGGGUCGUAAACUUCUUUUGACAGAGAACAAGCCGCAAGGUUGAGCGUAUCUGUAGAAUAAGGCGCUGCUAACUUCGUGCCAGCAGCAGCGGUAAUACGAAGGCGCCAAGCGUUAUCCGGAUUUAUUGGGCGUAAAGAGUUCAAAGGGGGUCAUGUUAGUCCGAUGUCAAAGCUCGCAACUCAAUUGCGAAAGCGCGUCGGAAACGGCAUGACUUGAGGAAAUUAGAGGCAAGUAGAACGGCUGGUGUAGGGGUGAAAUCCGUUGAUAUCAGCCGGAAUACCAAAGGCGAAGGCAUCUUGCUGGAAUUUUCCUGACCCUGAAAGAACGAAAGCGUGGGUAGCGAAUGGGAUUAGAUACCCCAGUAGUCCACGCCCUAAACGAUGAGUGCUCGCUGUUUGAAGUAUCGACCCUUCAAGUGGCUUAGUUAACACGUUAAGCACUCCGCCUGGGAAGUACGAGCGCAAGCUUAAAACUCAAAGGAAUAGACGGGGACUCGCACAAGCGGUGGAGCAUGUGGUUCAAUUCGACAAUAACCGAAAAACCUUACCUGGCCUUGACACUCUAACAAUAACCUCGCGAAAGCAAGGCGUGUUCACAAGACGGUUAGAGCAGGUACUGCAUGGUUGUCGUCAGCUCGUGCCUUGAGGUGUUCCGUUAAGUCGGGAAACGAGCGCAACCCCUGUUGCCAGUUACAAGUGUCUGGCGAUACCGCCCCGAGAGACGGGGAGGAAGGAGGGGACAACGUCAAAUCAGCAUGGUCCUUUGAUGGCCAAGGCUACACACGUGCUACAAUGGGAAAUACAAAGGGUUGCCAAGCCGUAAGGCGGAGCUAAUCCCAUCAAAAUUUCCCCA
This 1249-nucleotide ribosomal RNA is filed under the name uncultured Parcubacteria group bacterium. Its description in RNAcentral is "bacterial SSU rRNA". It matches the Rfam family "Bacterial small subunit ribosomal RNA", at positions 13 to 1289 of the family's 1533-position model. The record is from RNAcentral.